GCCCGUAUGGCUCAGUGGUUAGCGCGUUGGUCUUGUAUUACAAGUAAACCAAAGGUCCUCGGUUCAAAUCCGAGUUCGGGCA
Molecule: non-coding RNA, 82 nt
Organism: Mycoemilia scoparia
Lineage: Eukaryota; Fungi; Kickxellomycota; Kickxellomycetes; Kickxellales; Kickxellaceae
Source: the annotation of a GenBank genome assembly